RNA transcript from Tarenaya hassleriana, 1325 nucleotides. RefSeq lists it as uncharacterized. The record is from RefSeq and is a predicted model, not a curated record. The transcript is spliced from 5 exons. Lineage: Eukaryota; Viridiplantae; Streptophyta; Magnoliopsida; Brassicales; Cleomaceae.
GCCCCCGGGCUGGCUCGCGGUUCUGACCAUUUUUUUUAGGGUUUCAAGUUGAAACGUCUUUUCGAUCUAGAGUCUUUGACUGACUUCAUUUUCUCUCGAUCGACGACGGUUUUCUUUUUCUCUCUCGAUCUGAGCUUCGUUCCUCGCCUGCAUCCUCCUCCUUUCUCUGAUCCGAGCCUCUCUUGUCUGCGUCCUUCGACGUCACUCCGCGCCGUCUUCUUUCUCUUCUCCAUGUGACUCACCGACGGCUACUACAUUCUUCUGACUCUGAGAAACCCCACCUCCUGUGCCUAUCUAUGCAUUCAUCUUUAUGACUUCUGCAGAUUCUUUAUCCCUUCGCAGUCCACAUCGUUCUCUCUUUUGACCCUUUGCCGGAACUUUCUCCCGCCAGUGAUCUCUAUCUCUCUCUCGCCGACCUUGACGGUUUUUGUCCCUCCGGUGAUUGUUUCUCCGAGUCCUUCCUGUUCUCGCGACGAUGUCGAGAUUCAGGAUUGCAAAUGCCUUUCCCUUCUCGAGGUUCUUCAGGCAGCUUGAGCAAGAGGCGGAAACUGUGAUCAAUGUUCUGCAGCCUGGACCAUUAGGGAUCAUAGAACACAAGUUCUCGGCCCAGGAAAUUCGCGAGGCUAAAGCUACAAUCCAUAGAGCUGUGGAGAACUGGCGGAGGCAUGCUGAGCAAGAGACCAACAAUGGUGUCUUAAAAGACUACAUCUCUAAGUGAAGUCAAAGUCAACCCAUUUCAAGUAACCCACAGUUUCAGCUCAAGAAGACGAGAAAAGGGAAAGGUUCUGUCUUUGUAAUAAUAUAAGACAAGCCAGAUCUAGGAAUUUUCCAGAUACAUUCAUUACGUAUUUCUCAAACCCUCAGACGGGGGUUGAUGCUGCCAUUUGGCUCAGUUUCUGGUAGUUGAAAGGAGAAGCUCCGCCGGAGAGGCUGGAGCUCCUCUCAAGCCUCUCCUUCUCGACAAUGCGGUCAACAGGCUGUCUGUUUCACUGGUGCGACGGCAAGUUCUUGACCGUAUCCUCCUUGACCUGCUUUUGCUGGGCCUUGUUUCCUGCCUUCUCCAGCUCGGUUGCCUUGUUCUGCUGUUGUUUGGCUGAGGAUGCAUAGGACGAAGCAUGAAGCCUGCUAACCUAACCUAAAGGCAUCGCCAUUCGUAAGUAAUGAAAAUACAAAUCUAAAGAAAGGUUCCACGCCAUAGACUAAUAAUGUUCCACCAUAAAUUACUUGGCCAUCUGCCAUUUCGAAGUCACAAUGGCAAAAACAUGAGACGAGGUUAUGAUGCAAUCCCCAAAAGUAGCUCCAAGACGGCGGGGUUAUCAGAUAAA